RNAcentral lists this ribosomal RNA (301 nucleotides) under uncultured bacterium. RNAcentral describes it as "partial 16S ribosomal RNA". It matches the Rfam family "Bacterial small subunit ribosomal RNA", at positions 509 to 807 of the family's 1533-position model. The record is from RNAcentral.
CAGCCGCCGCGGUAAUACGUAGGUGGCAAGCGUUGUCCGGAAUUAUUGGGCGUAAAGGGCUCGCAGGCGGUUCCUUAAGUCUGAUGUGAAAGCCCCCGGCUCAACCGGGGAGGGUCAUUGGAAACUGGGAAACUUGAGUGCAGAAGAGGAGAGUGGAAUUCCACGUGUAGCGGUGAAAUGCGUAGAGAUAUGGAGGAACACCAGUGGCGAAGGCGACUCUCUGGUCUGUAACUGACGCUGAGGAGCGAAAGCGUGGGGAGCGAACAGGAUUAGAUACCCCUGUAGUCCCUGUCUCUUAUAC